CAAAAAUAGCACUAAAUCAAGUUUAUGUUCCCAAACUAGCACUUAAGGUCAAAAGUCACAAAAAUAACACUUAAUGUUUUAUCAAAAGUCACAAACUUAGGGUUUAGAGUUAAAGGGUGGGGUUUAAGAUUUAGGGUUUAGGGUUUAGGGUCUAGAGUUUAGGGUUUAGGGUUUAAAUUUUAGGGUUUAGGGUUUAGGGUUUAGAGUUUAGGGUUUAGGGUUUAGAGUUUAGGGUUUAGGGUUUAUAGUUGAGAAAUGAGGUUUUGGGGAUAAGAUUUCAAAUUUUGAAAAAUAAAAAAAUUAAUAUUUUCAAAGGAUAAA
Molecule: long non-coding RNA, 321 nt
Filed under: Brassica napus (rape)
Lineage: Eukaryota; Viridiplantae; Streptophyta; Magnoliopsida; Brassicales; Brassicaceae
Description: long non-coding RNA (BNAP_LNC009735)
Source: RNAcentral